This is a ribosomal RNA of Pteropus vampyrus (large flying fox), 119 nucleotides long. NCBI's taxonomy places the organism in Eukaryota, Metazoa, Chordata, Mammalia, Chiroptera, Pteropodidae. The record is from Ensembl.
AUCUAUGGCCAUGCUACCCUGAACAAGCCCAAUCCCACCUGAUCUCAGAAGCUAAGCAAGAUUGGGCCUGGUUAAUUCUUGGAUGGGAGACCACGUAGGAAGACCGGGUGCUGUAGGCA